GAUGAACGCUGGCGGCGUGCCUAAUACAUGCAAGUCGAGCGAACAGAUGAGGAGCUUGCUCCUCUGACGUUAGCGGCGGACGGGUGAGUAACACGUGGAUAACCUACCUAUAAGACUGGGAUAACUUCGGGAAACCGGAGCUAAUACCGGAUAAUAUAUUUAACCGCAUGGUUCAAUAGUGAAAGACGGUUUUGCUGUCACUUAUAGAUGGAUCCGCGCCGCAUUAGCUAGUUGGUAAGGUAACGGCUUACCAAGGCAACGAUGCGUAGCCGACCUGAGAGGGUGAUCGGCCACACUGGAACUGAGACACGGUCCAGACGCCUACGGGAGGCAGCAGUAGGGAAUCUUCCGCAAUGGGCGAAAGCCUGACGGAGCAACGCCGCGUGAGUGAUGAAGGUCUUCGGAUCGUAAAACUCUGUUAUUAGGGAAGAACAAAUGUGUAAGUAACUAUGCACGUCUUGACGGUACCUAAUCAGAAAGCCACGGCUAACUACGUG
This 497-nucleotide ribosomal RNA is filed under the name uncultured bacterium. RNAcentral's name for it is "partial 16S ribosomal RNA". It matches the Rfam family "Bacterial small subunit ribosomal RNA", at positions 28 to 507 of the family's 1533-position model. The record is from RNAcentral.